AUGGCAGCAGGAUUUCAAUCUGCUCCUGAAAGGCCAGCCACAGGUUCAGAGGCAGCAAAGGUUCUCCCUUCAAAAGUCAAACAACAAAAAAAGUCUUCUUUGAAUCCAACUCUGGAGGUAAAAAUGCUUAAACAGUUGAGGACACCACAGUCUCAACUCGAACCUGUUCCUGUUCAUGUUAAUGGACAGCCACUUACAGAUCUGUGUGAUGUAUGGCCAAGACCCCAAGCCCUGAGAGUUCAUCUUUGUGUUGUCAGCUGGGAUUCCAAAUCUGUCUCCUCAACCCUUAUGCAACAGGGGUGUUGGACCCUGGCAAUUUCAUGCAUUUCAUGCAGCAGCUAUUACUUUCCUUGUUUCUGAAAAGCUACAAACAAACAAAAACGUUAAGAGAAAACAGUCUAUCUGUUUGGAAGCUGUAGUGAAGACAAUAUGUGUUUUUUUUUAAUACCUUGAAAAUGUGAUAACUGUGCUCUCCAGGCAGAAACCAGCUAGUAACAUAGUUUUGUGAUCAUUCAAGAAAGUAUUAGGCAUUUUUAAAUUUUUGGAGAUUUUAUAGAUUUUAUAUAUAUAAUCUGUCACUGAAAGAUAACUUUCUACUUGAGUUCAAUUCAUCAAGUUUCUGUAAACAGCUUAUGACCAAUGCAAAACCCACCAAUAACACUACCUCUUCACAGUGAGCAUUGAAGUUCAGUGCGUAUAACAGCGCACUUACAACUUGGGUGGGUUCUGCCCAAAUUCAGUUUACACUUUAACCUAAAUCCAUCAAGUGCAGAGUACAUGAAAUUGUCAAAAUUUACAAUGAUAGGCUCACUGUGAAAUGAGCAUUGUACUACUGCUGUACAGUGCUGGGGCUCCUUUCUAGGAGCUAGGCCAAACUAUUAGCCCUUAAUUGAAUGUGUAGUGUCCAUUCACUGUGUCAACACUAAAGUAUUUUGAGUAAUAGGAUGAGUUGGCUUUGGCUUCUUUUCAUUGGCUGGACCACAUCUGGAUAUGUGAAGCAAUGCUUUACAUUAUGAGGUAGAGGCUGAGGGAAUAAAGUCAGGCUACAGAGAUACA
RNAcentral lists this long non-coding RNA (1056 nucleotides) under Anser brachyrhynchus (Pink-footed goose). Its description in RNAcentral is "lncRNA (ENSABRG00000004645.1)". The record is from RNAcentral. Lineage: Eukaryota; Metazoa; Chordata; Aves; Anseriformes; Anatidae.